GAAUAAACUUAAAAUUUUUUUUUAGGUCAAGAAAUUAUUUAAUUGAAAUAACAUUAUGAUUUGUGUUUUAGUAUAGGAAUAGAAUAAAUUUAUUUAUUUAUAGUGGAUUAGUAUUGUGAAAGAAAGUUGAAAAAUUUUGAAAAUUUCUUUUUUUGGAAGUAGAUAAUUUGUCGUACCUUGUGUAUCAGGGUUUAUCAAAAUUAAAAUAAGUAAAUUAUUUUUCCCGAGUUGAAAAGAGCUAAUUUAUUAUGUUAGUUAAUGUAUUAUCAUUAUUAAUAAUAAUAAAUUUGUAAUGAAAUGUUAGUCGGUUUUUAAGAUAUCUGGUUCUCUGAGAAAUGAAUUCAAUUCAGUAUCUAGGAAUAAUUUACUAAUUUUAUAGUAAAUUGUUAACUAGGUAUAAUAUCUUAAGGGAUAAGCUUUAGGGUAGAUAUUAUAAUUAUUAUUUUAUAUUUAAAAUUGUAGGCUUUAAAUUAGCCAUCAUGGUAAUAAUGUUAUAAAUUAUUUUAUAUAAAUAUGAUUUUAUAAUAAUUUUAAAUAUUAAAUCAGGGUGAAUUAUAGAAUUAAGGUUUAAUUGUAAUAAUGAUAAAAUUAGUAUAU
This 597-nucleotide ribosomal RNA is filed under the name Uvarovistia zebra. Its description in RNAcentral is "partial large subunit ribosomal RNA". Lineage: Eukaryota; Metazoa; Arthropoda; Insecta; Orthoptera; Tettigoniidae. The record is from RNAcentral.